RNAcentral lists this long non-coding RNA (1622 nucleotides) under Homo sapiens (human). Its description in RNAcentral is "long independently transcribed non-coding RNA 1511 (LINC01511)". The record is from RNAcentral. Lineage: Eukaryota; Metazoa; Chordata; Mammalia; Primates; Hominidae.
AGCGGUGGCAACCUGUUAGGGUCUGCUUUUGUCCUCUGGGAGCUUUCCUUGUUUGGUUUUCGUAGUAAAUCUUACUGCUGCUCAGUGUUUGUGUCUGUGCUGCGUUUGUGAGCUGCAACGCUCACGGUAAAGGUCUACAGCUUCACUCCCGAAGCCAGCGAGACUGUAAAUCCACUGGGAGGGGCAAAGAACUCUGGACGUGCUGCAUUUUUAGGAGCUGUGACACUCACCGCGGAGGUUUGCAGUUUCACUCCUGAAAUCAGUGUAGACCACGAACGCACCAGAAGGAACAAACUCCAGACACACCGUUUUUAGGUAACCGUAACAUGUACCGCGAGGGUCUGCGGCUUCAUUCUUGAAGACGAGACUAAGAACCCACCAACUUCUGGACACAAAACCACCCCAAAAAGUGAGUUUCUAAAGGAGAAGCUAAAAAUAAAGACCACGAAAGUGUUGCCCAUGGUGAUAGCUCCAGACGUCCGGAGACGGUGUUCAGCGCUGCUGCAGGAGAGACUUUAUCUUCUAUUCCGUUGGUCUGCCUAUCUAGAAAGCAAAAUUUCAAAUACUGAGACCGAUAGAUGAAGAUGCUUUCGCUUCUUCCCUGUUUCAUCCAGUUGGGGACUAAGUGUCCUUCGGUUUGGACUGUGCAGCUCGGGUCACCUUCUCUGUGGAACAGCAAGUGAAGAAAGAGGCGCAGAGCCCUGUGUUCCAAACCCUGGAGACAAUUGAGAAAGUGGGAACCCAUUAUUCCCCAAGCCCAGCCAGCAAACCUCACCGAUGAAACAGAUAAGCACUUCCUGCAGGUGGGGCCGACACUGGCCAGGACACAGCCCUCUCUCUCACAGCAGUGUUCCAGGUUGUUUGUGCACAAAAUUUCACAAAGGUCAGAGCUCGUCUCUCCAAACCGAUGAGCUUUGCGGUUAACCUGAAUUCACUGAACUGGGAUUUAUUAUUAUUAUUCUAUUUUACCUCUAACAGAAGUUUAAGGUUCGUGUAAGUUUCGUUCCUCUCUGAUUGUAGGGGAGACGCCCAGAGCGCCAUUUGGAGGAGAGAACCUGGCAUCCUUUCCUUACCUUGAUUUCAGGUACCCAGCUCCUAGCAAAUGUGUCUUCCUCCCAGGGUUCUUUGGGGUAAAGAAUUUGGUGAGAAGGAGCUGAAUGUUAUGGCUGCGUUUCUCAGCCACUUGCUCGGAGCCAAGCAUCCUCUCACCCUUUCUUUCAACUGGUAGCCAGAAAAUACGGGUUGAGCAUCAGGGAUUCUCAACCGUGUCAAGCUCCAGCCCUGCCUGUUGUGACAGACGUUUCCUGAUGCCUGUUGCUCUCUGGAAUGAAGGUCAUGGGCAGUAUUACCCACACAGCCAUUCAAAAUCAGUCGGCUUCGUGACCUGUUGUGAAAGGAUGGCGAUUGCCGUGCCAGCACGUGACAUGGACUCGGAUGCCUGCGCACACAGGUGCACCUUCCAGAAGGUGAGGUCAGCCCGAGCGCCCACCGCCAUGUGAGUGCGCUGCUGCAGUGACCAGUUGCUGGAAUGUUCUGAACAGAGCCCAGUGCCACCCACUUUGAUGUGCGCUAUUGUUAGAUCUCCGGAAAAAUCAGAGUGCAUUAAAUUCCUGCAAAAAUUC